RNAcentral lists this ribosomal RNA (738 nucleotides) under uncultured archaeon. Its description in RNAcentral is "bacterial SSU rRNA". It matches the Rfam family "Archaeal small subunit ribosomal RNA", at positions 52 to 781 of the family's 1478-position model. The record is from RNAcentral.
UGCAGCGGAGGGCGCGGUCGAAAGAUCGUGGCCCCGCACACUGCUCAGUAACACGUAGUUAACCUACCCUUGGGACGGGGACAACCUCGGGAAACUGAGGCUAAUCCCCGAUAGGUGAGGGACGCUGGAAUGCCUCCUCGCCCAAAGCUCCGGCGCCCAAGGAUGGGACUGCGGUCUAUCAGGCUGUUGGUGGUGUAACGGACCACCAAACCUACGACGGGUACGGGCGAUGGGAGUCGGAGCCCGGAGAUGGGGACUGAGACAAGGCCCCAGGCCCUACGGGGCGCAGCAGGCGCGAAAACUCCGCAAUGCGCGCAAGCGUGACGGGGGAAUCCCAAGUGCCGUUGGUCUUAUGAUCGACGGUUUUUAGGAAGUCUAAGAAGCUUCCAGAAUAAGGGCUGGGCAAGACUGGUGCCAGCCGCCGCGGUAACACCAGCAGCCCAAGUGGUGACCACGAUUAUUGGGCCUAAAGCGCUCGUAGCCGGAUCAGCAAGUCCCUUGUGAAAUCGGGCCGCCUAACGGUUCGGCGUGCAAGGGAUACUGUUGGUCUUGAGGCCGGGAGAGGUCGGAGGUACUCCUGGGGUAGCGGUGAAAUGCUCUAAUCCUAGGGGGACCACCAGUGGCGAAGGCGUCCGACCAGAACGGACCUGACGGUGAGGGGCGAAGGCUAGGGGAGCGAACGGGAUUAGAUACCCCGGUAGUCCUAGCUGUAAAGCAUGCGGGCCAGGUGUCUAGCGC